This is a long non-coding RNA of Xiphophorus maculatus (southern platyfish), 858 nucleotides long. RefSeq lists it as uncharacterized. The record is from RefSeq and is a predicted model, not a curated record. NCBI's taxonomy places the organism in Eukaryota, Metazoa, Chordata, Actinopteri, Cyprinodontiformes, Poeciliidae. The transcript is spliced from 5 exons.
CACCAGGGAGAUGAACAGUCGGAUGAAGAUGUCAAUGAGGUUGGUGACAACCAGAGAGGUUCUUCGCUGAGCUGAGGAGAACUGCUGCUGCAUGGUAGGAAUGAAGACGCCUCGGAUCGUCGAUCCGUACGACACAAAGAAAUCGGCAUCGGCCGCCAGCGAGCCUCAGAGAGUACAGGUUGUGCUGGUCGAUGAUGUUCCUGACGGCGGUCUGCCACAGCAGACGUUUCCUUCGUAGACCUUGGGCGGGGCUGAUGUUCGCACUGAAGAGGCCUCCAUUGACGCCGUCAGUGCUGAUGAAGCAGAUGGUGUUAAUCUAAUGCCAGGUGAGGCCAGCGCCAUGCUGCCAUGCUGUACUUCAACUUCCUGUUGACUCAACCAUGUUAAAGUAUCCAGAACCAUGAAAGAGGAUUCCUGCUUUACACCAAACUGAAGGUAGACCUUCUGGAUUAAAUUGGCUCAAUGGGAACAAAUCAGUAGGUAAGAAAAGGUAAAGGGUUUUAUUGAAUCCUCUGAAGAUUAGUUUAUAGGAUGAAAAACUGAACGGAGUCAUAGUUGUACUCACUGGUUGCAGAAUUGAUUUGAUCAUCUCCAGUAAGGACUCUGGUUUGUCUUUGUCCUGUUUUUGUUUCCUUGCUGCUUCCUUGUUCAUCUCAGGUCCAUCUUGUUCAGCUCAUCAUGAUUUAUUCAGGAAACAAACACACUUUCCAAGCUCCUCAUUUCUUCAUGAAGGUUUCGUCAGCAGGAAGCGUCCAGUCGUCAUGGUGUCGACAGACGACAGCGUCAGCGUCAGGAGACGCCGCAGGUCGGACCUCGGCGAGGAUCCGGACUCACCGCGUGGCGCCCGGCUUCACCCCC